RNAcentral lists this ribosomal RNA (474 nucleotides) under uncultured bacterium. Its description in RNAcentral is "bacterial SSU rRNA". It matches the Rfam family "Bacterial small subunit ribosomal RNA", at positions 335 to 799 of the family's 1533-position model. The record is from RNAcentral.
ACUCCUACGGGAGGCAGCAGUGGGGAAUAUUGCACAAUGGGCGCAAGCCUGAUGCAGCCAUGCCGCGUGUGUGAAGAAGGCCUUCGGGUUGUAAAGCACUUUCAGUCGUGAGGAAGGUAGUGUAGUUAAUAGCUGCAUUAUUUGUACGUUAGCGACAGAAGAAGCACCGGCUAACUCCGUGCCAGCAGCCGCGGUAAUACGGAGGGUGCGAGCGUUAAUCGGAAUUACUGGGCGUAAAGCGCAUGCAGGUGGUUUGUUAAGUCAGAUGUGAAAGCCCGGGGCUCAACCUCGGAAUUGCAUUUGAAACUGGCAGACUAGAGUACUGUAGAGGGGGGUAGAAUUUCAGGUGUAGCGGUGAAAUGCGUAGAGAUCUGAAGGAAUACCGGUGGCGAAGGCGGCCCCCUGGACAGAUACUGACACUCAGAUGCGAAAGCGUGGGGAGCAAACAGGAUUAGAUACCCUGGUAGGAUAGCG